UACGGAGGGUGCAAGCAUUAAUCGGAUUUAUUGGGCGUAAAGGGCGCGUAGGCGGGAAGGAAAGUUGGAUGUGAAAUCCCGAGGCUCAACCUCGGAACCGCAUCCAAAACUUCCAUUCUGGAGGAUGAGCGGAGAAAAUGGAAUUCCACAUGUAGCGGUGAAAUGCGUAGAUAUGUGGAGGAACACCGGUGGCGAAAGCGAUUUUCUAGCUUAGACCUGACGCUGAG
RNAcentral lists this ribosomal RNA (227 nucleotides) under uncultured prokaryote. Its description in RNAcentral is "partial 16S ribosomal RNA". It matches the Rfam family "Bacterial small subunit ribosomal RNA", at positions 524 to 750 of the family's 1533-position model. The record is from RNAcentral.